Molecule: small nucleolar RNA, 142 nt
Organism: Mus caroli (Ryukyu mouse)
Lineage: Eukaryota; Metazoa; Chordata; Mammalia; Rodentia; Muridae
Product: small nucleolar RNA SNORA48
Source: RefSeq, a predicted model, not a curated record
UGCCUGAGAAUGGGCAAAGAGAUACCUUGUUGGUGGUGUUGUUCUUAUAUUAGUCAGGGGCAGAGGAGAUGACAGUCCUUUGUUCAUCCUAGCUUCAUGCCUGUCCUGGUGUCCAAAGCUGUCUUAUGCCUAGGACUCAUAC